This 489-nucleotide ribosomal RNA is filed under the name uncultured bacterium. RNAcentral's name for it is "bacterial SSU rRNA". It matches the Rfam family "Bacterial small subunit ribosomal RNA", at positions 29 to 514 of the family's 1533-position model. The record is from RNAcentral.
AUUGAACGCUGGCGGAAUGCUUUACACAUGCAAGUCGAGCGGCAGCGCGGGGCAACCUGGCGGCGAGCGGCGAACGGGUGAGUAAUGUAUCGGAACGUACCCAGUCGUGGGGGAUAACUAUCCGAAAGGAUAGCUAAUACCGCAUACGUCCUGAGGGAGAAAGCGGGGGAUCGCAAGACCUCGCGCGAUUGGAGCGGCCGAUAUCGGAUUAGCUAGUUGGUGAGGUAAAGGCUCACCAAGGCGACGAUCCGUAGCUGGUCUGAGAGGACGACCAGCCACACUGGAACUGAGACACGGUCCAGACUCCUACGGGAGGCAGCAGUGGGGAAUUUUGGACAAUGGGGGCAACCCUGAUCCAGCCAUUCCGCGUGAGUGAAGAAGGCCUUCGGUUGUAAGCUCUUUCGUCAGGAACGAAACGGUAGGGCGUCUAACAUAGCUGCUAAUGACGGUACCUGAAGAAGAAGACACCGGCUAACUACGUGCCAGCAG